UAAGCGGAGGAAAAGAAACUAACAAGGNUUCCCCUAGUAACUGCGAGUGAAGCGGGAAAAGCUCAAAUUUAAAAUCUGGUGGUCUUUGGCCAUCCGAGUUGUAAUUUAGAGAAGCGUCUUCCGCGCUGGACCGUGCACAAGUCUCCUGGAAUGGAGCGUCAUAGAGGGUGAGAAUCCCGUCUUUGGCACGGAUGUACCAGGGCUUUUGUGAUGCGCUCUCGAAGAGUCGAGUUGUUUGGGAAUGCAGCUCAAAAUGGGUGGUGAACUCCAUCUAAAGCUAAAUAUUGGCGAGAGACCGAUAGCGAACAAGUACCGUGAGGGAAAGAUGAAAAGAACUUUGGAAAGAGAGUUAAACAGUACGUGAAAUUGUUGAAAGGGAAACGCUUGAAGUCAGUCGCGUUGCCCAGAAAUCAACCUUGCUUUUGCUUGGUGUACUUUCUGGUUAACGGGUCAGCAUCAAUUUUGACCGGUGGAUAAAGGUCAGGGGAAUGUGGCAUCUUUGGAUGUGUUAUAGCCCUUGGUUGCAUACAUCGAUUGGGAUUGAGGAACUCAGCAUGCCGCAAGGCCGGGUUUUUAACCACGUACAUGCUUAGGAUGCUGGCAUAAUGGCUUUAAUCGACC
This 621-nucleotide ribosomal RNA is filed under the name uncultured Russulaceae. Its description in RNAcentral is "LSU rRNA". It matches the Rfam family "Eukaryotic large subunit ribosomal RNA", at positions 47 to 649 of the family's 3401-position model. The record is from RNAcentral. Lineage: Eukaryota; Fungi; Basidiomycota; Agaricomycetes; Russulales; Russulaceae.